GUGCUCACUUUGGUAGCCCAUAUACUAAAAAUUGUAAUGAUACAGAGAUUGGCAUAGCCCCUGCUUAAGGAUGACACACAAAUUCAUUAAGCAUUCCAUAUUUUU
Molecule: small nuclear RNA, 105 nt
Organism: Bison bison bison
Lineage: Eukaryota; Metazoa; Chordata; Mammalia; Artiodactyla; Bovidae
Source: Ensembl